This 427-nucleotide ribosomal RNA is filed under the name uncultured bacterium. Its description in RNAcentral is "partial 16S ribosomal RNA". It matches the Rfam family "Bacterial small subunit ribosomal RNA", at positions 355 to 774 of the family's 1533-position model. The record is from RNAcentral.
UGGGGAAUAUUGCACAAUGGGCGCAAGCCUGAUGCGGCCAUGCCGCGUGUAUGAAGAAGGCCUUCGGGUUGUAAAGUACUUUCAGCGGGGAGGAAGGGAGUAAAGUUAAUACCUUUGCUCAUUGACGUUACCCGCAGAAGAAGCACCGGCUAACUCCGUGCCAGCAGCCGCGGUAAUACGGAGGGUGCAAGCGUUAAUCGGAAUUACUGGGCGUAAAGCGCACGCAGGCGGUUUGUUAAGUCAGAUGUGAAAUCCCCGGGCUCAACCUGGGAACUGCAUCUGAUACUGGCAAGCUUGAGUCUCGUAGAGGGGGGUAGAAUUCCAGGUGUAGCGGUGAAAUGCGUAGAGAUCUGGAGGAAUACCGGUGGCGAAGGCGGCCCCCUGGACGAAGACUGACGCUCAGGUGCGAAAGCGUGGGGAGCAAACA